AUGGAGAAAGGGGCAGGGAGCUGGGGGUGGGUGGCGGGUCUGGUUUCUUCAGGAACAGGACGCGGUGGCGCCCCGGAUGUAGGAGGAGUCGGGGGCGUUGAGAACAGAGGGGCCGCAGGGGACAUCCCGCUAAUGAUGGAAAUGCCGGCUGCCUCCGGGGCUGCAAGGCCCGUGCGCACGUCAUGUCACACACUGCGGUGUCGCGAGGGACACACGCUCAGACGCACCGUUGCUGGAGCCAAGCCCGCGUGCACCGUCCCCGCAGUAGGCCGGCAGUCUGUCCCUAGAUGGAUGGUGGGGACUCCCGCCAACCGAGGGCCCGUCCCGUUGGGCUCACCGACAGACAUCUCUUUGGGUUUUUAAGUCCAGAUGCACAAAGUGGCUACUCUUCGGGCGACCAGAGAUCACAAAAUGCCCUGCCUCAUAUUCUUCCUCUGUUCCGCUUUCACGGAGAGCAAGCCCGCAAAAAAACAGCGUUGGAAUAGCCCGUUGGGAAGAUCUGCAUCUGUUCUCGCGGUGUUCCUAUUGCUCGAGAUAUUUUGGAACUCCUUCUAAACGUUUUUGAAAGUUGAGGGCCCCUUGCGAGCUGUGAAGAGCAGAAUUACCCAUGUCACCACGGAAUAUUUGUGCAAGUACCGAGCAAAACCGUCCGCACCAAAGAGGCACAUAAAAGAUCCCGUGAAGGGGCGCCUGGGUGGCUCAGUCGGUUGAACGGCUGACUUCGGCUCAGGUCACGAUCUCGCAGUCCGUGAGUUCAAGCCCCGCGUCGGGCUCUGUGCUGACAGCUCAGAGCCUGGAGCCUGUUUCCGAUUCUGUGUCUCCCUCUCUCUGUGACCCUCCCCCGUUCAUGCUCUGUCUCUCUCUGUCUCAAAAAUAAAUAAAAUGUUAAAAAAAAAAAAAAUUAAAAA
Molecule: long non-coding RNA, 908 nt
Filed under: Felis catus (domestic cat)
Lineage: Eukaryota; Metazoa; Chordata; Mammalia; Carnivora; Felidae
Description: lncRNA (ENSFCAG00000049540.1)
Source: RNAcentral